AGUGAACGCUGGCGGUAGGCCUAACACAUGCAAGUCGAACGGCAGCACAGUAAGAGCUUGCUCUUACGGGUGACGAGUGGCGGACGGGUGAGGAAUACAUCGGAAUCUACUUUUUCGUGGGGGAUAACGUAGGGAAACUUACGCUAAUACCGCAUACGACCUACGGGUGAAAGCAGGGGAUCUUCGGACCUUUCGCGAUUGAAUGAGCCGAUGUCGGAUUAGCUAGUUGGCGGGGUAAAGGCCCACCAAGGCGACGAUCCGUAGCUGGACUGAGAGGAUGAUCAGCCACCCUGGGAGUGAGACCCGGCCCAGGCGCAUUGGGGAGGCGGCCGUGGGGAAUCUUGGAGAAUGGGCGGAAGCCUGUUGCAGACAUACCGCGUGGGUGAAGAAGGACUUCGGGUUGUAAAGCCCUUUUGUUGGGAAAGAAAAGCAGCAGGUUAAUACCACACUGUUCUGACGGUACCCAAAGAAUAAGCACCGGCUAACUUCGUG
This 492-nucleotide ribosomal RNA is filed under the name uncultured bacterium. RNAcentral describes it as "partial 16S ribosomal RNA". It matches the Rfam family "Bacterial small subunit ribosomal RNA", at positions 29 to 507 of the family's 1533-position model. The record is from RNAcentral.